Oncorhynchus tshawytscha (Chinook salmon) is the source of this 317-nucleotide long non-coding RNA. The record is from Ensembl. Lineage: Eukaryota; Metazoa; Chordata; Actinopteri; Salmoniformes; Salmonidae.
CUUUAUUGUUGGAAAAACCUCCAUAACUAGAGGAUAUAUCAGCUGUUUUGGUGAACCCCUCCCUUGUCUGAACUGGCUGACACAGAGGGCACAGCAUGAUCAUAGGUCGGUGGUGGCUGGUCCAGUCCAGGAGUCUGAGGUGCGGGUGGUUCCUCCGCCCCCUCUAGACAUCGAGGGGGCCCCGGCGUAUGCAGUUUGAUCCAUACUGGACUCGAGGCGUCGGGCAAGGGUCCUUCAGUACCUCGUGGAGUGGGAGAGAUCUCUCCGGAGGAGAGAUGCUGUGUGCCGAAGGCUCUGGGCUGUAAUUGCUGCCAAAG